UACGUAGGUGGCGAGCGUUGUCCGGAUUUACUGGGUGUAAAGGGCGUGCAGCCGGGAAUGCAAGUCAGAUGUGAAAUCUAUGGGCUCAACCCAUAAAUUGCAUUUGAAACUGUGUUUCUUGAGUGCUGGAGAGGCAGACGGAAUUCCUAGUGUAGCGGUGAAAUGCGUAGAUAUUAGGAGGAACACCAGUGGCGAAGGCGGUCUGCUGGACAGUAACUGACGGUGAGGCGCGAAAGCGUGGGGAGCAAACAGG
This 253-nucleotide ribosomal RNA is filed under the name Flintibacter butyricus. Its description in RNAcentral is "partial 16S ribosomal RNA". It matches the Rfam family "Bacterial small subunit ribosomal RNA", at positions 524 to 776 of the family's 1533-position model. Lineage: Bacteria; Bacillati; Bacillota; Clostridia; Eubacteriales. The record is from RNAcentral.